AUUGAACGCUGGCGGCAUGCUUUACACAUGCAAGUCGAACGGCAGCACGGAGAGCUUGCUCUCUGGUGGCGAGUGGCGAACGGGUGAGUAAUGCAUCGGAACGUACCGAGUAAUGGGGGAUAACUGUCCGAAAGGAUGGCUAAUACCGCAUACGCCCUGAGGGGGAAAGCGGGGGAUCGAAAGACCUCGCGUUAUUUGAGCGGCCGAUGUUGGAUUAGCUAGUUGGUGGGGUAAAGGCCUACCAAGGCGACGAUCCAUAGCGGGUCUGAGAGGAUGAUCCGCCACAUUGGGACUGAGACACGGCCCAAACUCCUACGGGAGGCAGCAGUGGGGAAUUUUGGACAAUGGGGGGAACCCUGAUCCAGCCAUGCCGCGUGUCUGAAGAAGGCCUUCGGGUUGUAAAGGACUUUUGUUAGGGAAGAAAAGCCGGGUGUUAAUACCACCUGGUGCUGACGGUACCUAAAGAAUAAGCACCGGCUAACUACGUG
RNAcentral lists this ribosomal RNA (488 nucleotides) under uncultured bacterium. RNAcentral describes it as "bacterial SSU rRNA". It matches the Rfam family "Bacterial small subunit ribosomal RNA", at positions 30 to 507 of the family's 1533-position model. The record is from RNAcentral.